This 468-nucleotide ribosomal RNA is filed under the name uncultured bacterium. Its description in RNAcentral is "partial 16S ribosomal RNA". It matches the Rfam family "Bacterial small subunit ribosomal RNA", at positions 28 to 507 of the family's 1533-position model. The record is from RNAcentral.
GACGAACGCUGGCGGCGUGCUUAACACAUGCAAGUCGAACGGAAAGGCCCUGCUUUUGUGGGGUGCUCGAGUGGCGAACGGGUGAGUAACACGUGAGUAACCUGCCCUUGACUUUGGGAUAACUUCAGGAAACUGGGGCUAAUACCGGAUAGGAGCUCCUGCUGCAUGGUGGGGGUUGGAAAGUUUCGGCGGUUGGGGAUGGACUGGCGGCUUAUCAGCUUGUUGGUGGGGUAGUGGCUUACCAAGGCUUUGACGGGUAGCCGGCCUGCGCGGGUAACCGGCCACGAUGGGACUGGGAUGAGGCCCAGACCCCUACGGGAGGCAGCAGUGGGGAAUAUAGCACAAUGGGCGGAAGCCUGAUGCAGCAACGCCGCGUGCGGGAUGACGGCCUGCGGGUUGUAUACCACAGCCGCCUGUGACGAAGCGUGAGUGACGGUAAUGGGUAAAGAAGCACCGGCUAACUACGUG